Molecule: ribosomal RNA, 253 nt
Filed under: uncultured bacterium
Lineage: Bacteria
Description: partial 16S ribosomal RNA
Rfam family: Bacterial small subunit ribosomal RNA
Source: RNAcentral
UACGUAGGGUGCGAGCGUUAAUCGGAAUUACUGGGCGUAAAGCGUGCGCAGGCGGUUUUGUAAGACAGAGGUGAAAUCCCCGGGCUUAACCUGGGAACUGCCUUUGUGACUGCAAGGCUUGAGUGCGGCAGAGGGGGAUGGAAUUCCGCGUGUAGCAGUGAAAUGCGUAGAUAUGCGGAGGAACACCGAUGGCGAAGGCGACUUUCUGGCCUGUUCUUGACGCUGAGGCGCGAAAGCUAGGGGAGCAAACGGG